GGCAGCGCGGACUUCGGUCUGGCGGCGAGUGGCGAACGGGUGAGUAAUGUAUCGGAACGUGCCCAGCUAGCGGGGGAUAACUACUCGAAAGAGUAGCUAAUACCGCAUACGCCCUACGGUGGAAAGGGGGGGAUCGCAAGACCUCUCACUAUUGGAGCGGCCGAUAUCGGAUUAGCUAGUUGGUGAGGUAAAGGCUCACCAAGGCGACGAUCCGUAGCUGGUUUGAGAGGACGACCAGCCACACUGGGACUGAGACACGGCCCAGACUCCUACGGGAGGCAGC
This 283-nucleotide ribosomal RNA is filed under the name uncultured beta proteobacterium. RNAcentral's name for it is "partial 16S ribosomal RNA". It matches the Rfam family "Bacterial small subunit ribosomal RNA", at positions 68 to 352 of the family's 1533-position model. Lineage: Bacteria; Pseudomonadati; Pseudomonadota; Betaproteobacteria. The record is from RNAcentral.